This 799-nucleotide ribosomal RNA is filed under the name uncultured bacterium. RNAcentral describes it as "bacterial SSU rRNA". It matches the Rfam family "Bacterial small subunit ribosomal RNA", at positions 8 to 796 of the family's 1533-position model. The record is from RNAcentral.
AGAGUUUGAUCCUGGCUCAGAUUGAACGCUGGCGGCAUGCCUAACACAUGCAAGUCGAACGGCAGCACAGCAGAGCUUGCUCUGUGGGUGGCGAGUGGCGGACGGGUGAGUAAUGCAUCGGGACCUACCUCAACGUGGGGGAUAACGUAGGGAAACUUACGCUAAUACCGCAUACGUCCUACGGGAGAAAGCAGGGGACCUUCGGGCCUUGCGCGGUGAGACGGACCGAUGUUCGAUUAGCUAGUUGGUGAGGUAAUGGCUCACCAAGGCGACGAUCGAUAGCUGGUCUGAGAGGAUGAUCAGCCACACUGGAACUGAGACACGGUCCAGACUCCUACGGGAGGCAGCAGUGGGGAAUAUUGGACAAUGGGCGCAAGCCUGAUCCAGCAAUGCCGCGUGUGUGAAGAAGGCCUUCGGGUUGUAAAGCACUUUUAUCGGGAGCGAAAUACCAUUGGCUAAUAACCAGUGGGGCUGACGGUACCCGAGGAAUAAGCACCGGCUAACUUCGUGCCAGCAGCCGCGGUAAUACGAAGGGUGCAAGCGUUAAUCGGAAUUACUGGGCGUAAAGGGUGCGUAGGCGGUUUGUUAAGUCUGUCGUGAAAUCCCCGGGCUCAACCUGGGAAUGGCGAUGGAUACUGGCAAGCUAGAGUGUGUCAGAGGAUGGUGGAAUUUCCGGUGUAGCGGUGAAAUGCGUAGAUAUCGGAAGGAACACCUGUGGCGAAAGCGGCUCACUGGACCAUUACUGACACUGAGGCACGAAAGCUAGGGGAGUAAACAGGAUUAGAUACCCUGGUAGUCC